GCGGGUCGCGCGUGCCGGCCGGGGACGGACUGGGAACGGCUCUUUCGGGGGCCUUCCCCGGGCGUCGAACAGCCACAGAACUGGUACGGACAAGGGGAAUCCGACUGUUUAAUUAAAACAAAGCAUUGCGAUGGUCCCUGCGGAUGCUAACGCAAUGUGAUUUCUCUGCCCAGUGCUCUGAAUGUCAAAGUGAAGAAAUUCAACCAAGCGGGGUAAACGGCGGGAGUAACUAUGACUCUCUCGUAGCCAUAAGUCCGCAUCUACAUUAGUGACCGCAUGAAUGGAUUAACCCCACUGUCCCUGUCUACUAUCCGAAACCACAGCCAAGGAACGGGCUUGG
RNAcentral lists this non-coding RNA (340 nucleotides) under Ipomoea nil (Japanese morning glory). RNAcentral describes it as "Eukaryotic large subunit ribosomal RNA". It matches the Rfam family "Eukaryotic large subunit ribosomal RNA", at positions 2023 to 2388 of the family's 3401-position model. The record is from Rfam by way of RNAcentral. Lineage: Eukaryota; Viridiplantae; Streptophyta; Magnoliopsida; Solanales; Convolvulaceae.